Molecule: ribosomal RNA, 215 nt
Filed under: Campeiostachys nutans
Lineage: Eukaryota; Viridiplantae; Streptophyta; Magnoliopsida; Poales; Poaceae
Description: Elymus nutans partial small subunit ribosomal RNA
Rfam family: Eukaryotic small subunit ribosomal RNA (bases 38-215)
Source: RNAcentral
AGAACAAACUGUCGGUCGUGCCUUGGUACGUACUGGCAUUAUUGAUUUCUCCCUUCUGAAGAACCACGAUGUCAUUAAUUUGGUGUCUUGGGGAAUCAGGACUGUUACUUUGAAAAAAUUAGAGUGUUUAAAGCAGACGCACGCUUGAAUACAUUAGCAUGGAAUAAUGAAAUAGGACGUUCGAUCCUAUUUUGUUGGUUUCUAGGAUUGACGUA